This is a long non-coding RNA of Macaca fascicularis (crab-eating macaque), 1738 nucleotides long. The record is from Ensembl. Lineage: Eukaryota; Metazoa; Chordata; Mammalia; Primates; Cercopithecidae.
CUCGGCCUGUUUUCAAGCCGGGCUGUCGGUCUUCUGCACUCAGACUGGAACUUACACCAGUGGCUCGCCCAGGCCUCCAGCUUGCCGACUGCUGAUUUUUGGACUUGACAGCCUCCACCUCCACAGCGGCAUGAAAAAUUCCUCAUCAUCAAUCUCUCUAUGCAUAUAUCCUAUCUAUCCUUUCGGUUCUAUUUCUCUGGGGACCCCUAGAACAACACGCAAGGUGAGAGGCCCUUGAGGAGGACUGACUGUGGCUCGCUGGUCUAAAGCUCUAAGCUGCUACUGCUGCUGACUCCAGCUCUGCAGAAGAUACAGUGGUGACAUCUCCUGGGGACCGCGCCGUCGGUGCUCCAGCUUUCAGGAAGCUCCCGCCUUGGGGUGAACAGACAGCAGGUAAAGAAGCCUCAUGCAGGGCAGCAGGGGAUACCCUGGAGAGGAAAGCGAGGCAAGAAACAGACACUGUGCCAGUGGCUCCUGAAGGGAUGCACACUCGGGGAUCUCGGAGAGGGUCCAGGCUUGGACAGCCAUGCUCCCAGACAAGAGCUUCUGCUGUGCUCCCAGAUGAGAGCCAGAGCCCCACCUGUCAGGAGGCCACACUCAUGCCCAGGACUUCUGGGCCUCGGCAGUGCUCCCAAGGGUGUGGCACCAGGUGCAGCAGGGCAGCGUUUGACUCGGAGCCUGAGACAUGUAUCUGAUACAAAUGGGGCUGUUCUGGAUGAGGGAGGGGGCACCCAGCCCCCAAGUCCGGCUCCCCAGCUCCCUGACUGCCCUGGCUCUGCUGAGCACCUUCGAGACCAUAUUGGAAGCUCUCAGCGAGGCUCCUGGACCCUGGCAUCCCCGAAACCCCCUGAGGGACCCACUUUGCCAGCUGCAUGUCUGUGUCGCACGGAACUGUCUCCUUGCUCUGCAAGCAGGUGGAAUGCAGGAGCAGGCAGGAAAAUCCAACUCUUCCGAGUCAGACACUCGAGAGCUCUGCAGACACGAAGACAAUGCCACGCCGCCCCCUAAAUGCUUUUUGUUUUGGAAAAUACAGCUGUUUGUCAUAAGAUAACCGGAAGCAGCAGAGAAAACAUCUGAAGUGCUUCCUGGACACACUGGUUAGGAAGUUUCUGCAAGAACCCAGCUGCCUCCCGGGCUGCCCAGGUCAGGUGCUGAGAACACAAAAGAAAAUGAGACAAAGUCGCCACCCUGGAGUUUACAAGCUGGCGUGGGAGACAGGCUGGCACUGAGGACGACGGUGGAGAGACAGGGAGAGGCAGUGGAGAGACACCGGAAGAACCAGAGGUGCUGGGGAAGCCGGGUCAGCAGAGAGACCCCAGCAGAGUGGGAGCCGGAGGACGGCGGCGACUGCAGCCGACUGUUUCAGGUGGCGUCCUCGUCACGAGAGGACCUUGAGCGGUCAUGGGCUUCCUGGGAACCUGCCUACAGAGGAAACGAUUACUGGGUGCGGAUGUCUUGAACAUUUAUUGCAUUCCACGUUGUCAGUCAAUAAAACAGCUUUGCCAGCGUAAUACUGACAAAAUCAAGUUCAGGCUGUAAGCCCAAGGGCUUCCAAGAAAAGUGGAUCUGGUGUCCAGUGGGGGCACUGCCUGGUUCCCAGGCGGAGUCCAAACUGCAGGGAGAAACAAGGACCCUGCGGGAAGAAGGGACCUGCCCGACUGGUUCCCCCGCACCCACGUCAGGAAUUUUCCCAGAAAGCCAUCCACUUUGUUAGACGCAAAAUAAAGGUCAUUUGGAG